AAUCUUCCGCAAUGGACGCAAGUCUGACGGAGCAACGCCUCGUGAGUGAUGAAGGAUUUCGAAACGUAAAACACUGUUGUUAGGGAAGAACAAGUAUCGGAGUCACUGCCGGUACCUUGACGGUACCUGACGAGACAGCCAAGGCCAACUACGUGCUAGCAGCCGCGGUAAUACGUAGGUGGCAAGCGUUGUCCGGAUUUAUUGGGCGUAACGCGCGCGCAGGCGGUCUUUUAAGUCUGAUGUGAAAUCUUACGGCUUAACUGUAAGCGGUCAUUGGAAACUUGGAGACUUGAGUGCAGAAGAGGAGAGUGGAAUUCCAUGUGUAGCGGUGAAAUGCGUAGAGAUAUGGAGGAACACCAGUGGCGAAGGCGACUCUCUGGUCUGUAACUGACGCUGAGGCGCGAAAGCGUGGGGAUCAAAC
This 421-nucleotide ribosomal RNA is filed under the name uncultured bacterium. RNAcentral's name for it is "partial 16S ribosomal RNA". It matches the Rfam family "Bacterial small subunit ribosomal RNA", at positions 360 to 773 of the family's 1533-position model. The record is from RNAcentral.